This 250-nucleotide ribosomal RNA is filed under the name uncultured prokaryote. RNAcentral describes it as "partial 16S ribosomal RNA". It matches the Rfam family "Bacterial small subunit ribosomal RNA", at positions 524 to 774 of the family's 1533-position model. The record is from RNAcentral.
UACGAAGGGGGCUAGCGUUGCUCGGAAUCACUGGGCGUAAAGGGCGCGUAGGCGGACUUUUAAGUCGGAGGUGAAAGCCCAGGGCUCAACCCUGGAAUUGCCUUCGAUACUGGGAGUCUUGAGUUCGGAAGAGGUUGGUGGAACUGCGAGUGUAGAGGUGAAAUUCGUAGAUAUUCGCAAGAACACCGGUGGCGAAGGCGGCCAACUGUCCGAAACUGACGCUGAGGCGCGAAAGCGUGGGGAGCAAACA